CCUACGGGAGGCUGCAGUGCGGAAUAUUGGUCAAUGGGCUUGCGUCUGAACCAGCCACGUCGCGUGAGGGAAGACGGCCCUCUGGUUUGUACACCUCUUUUGUCAGGGAACACAUACUGCUACUUGUAGCGGUAUCAAGCUUACCUAACUAAAAACCAUCGGCAAACGCCUUGCAGACAGCCGCGGUAUUACGGAGGAGGCGAGCGUGAUCAGGAUUAAUUGGGUUUAAGGGGUGCGUGGGCGGAAUGCAAAGUCAGCGUUAAAGUCGCGGGGCCAAACCUAGCUCCACCGUUGAAACUGGCGGUCUUGAGUGGGCGAGAGGUAUGCGGAAUGCGUAGUGUAGCGGUGGAAUGCGUAGAUAUCACGCAGAACUCCGAUUGCGAAGGCAGCAUACCGGCGCCGAACUGACGCUGAAGCACGAAAGCGUGGGUAUCGAACAGGAUUAGAUACCCGUGUAGGC
Molecule: ribosomal RNA, 460 nt
Filed under: uncultured bacterium
Lineage: Bacteria
Description: partial 16S ribosomal RNA
Rfam family: Bacterial small subunit ribosomal RNA
Source: RNAcentral